GACGAACGCUGGCGGCGUGCCUAAUACAUGCAAGUAGAACGCUGAAGGAGGAGCUUGCUUCUCUGGAUGAGUUGCGAACGGGUGAGUAACGCGUAGGUAACCUGCCUGGUAGCGGGGGAUAACUAUUGGAAACGAUAGCUAAUACCGCAUAACAGUAGAUAUCGCAUGAUAUCUACUUGAAAGGUGCAAUUGCAUCACUACCAGAUGGACCUGCGUUGUAUUAGCUAGUUGGUGAGGUAACGGCUCACCAAGGCGACGAUAUAUAGCCGACCUGAGAGGGGGAUCGGCCACACUGGGACUGAGACACGGCCCAGACUCCUAAGGGAGGCAGCAGGAGGGAAUCUUCGGCAAUGGACGGAAGUCUGACCGAGCAACGCCGCGGGAGGGAAGAAGGUUUUCGGAUCGUAAAGCUCUGUUGUAAGAGAAGAACGAGUGUGAGAGUGGAAAGUUCACACUGUGACGGUAUCUGACCAGAAAGGGACGGCUAACUACGUG
Molecule: ribosomal RNA, 495 nt
Filed under: uncultured bacterium
Lineage: Bacteria
Description: partial 16S ribosomal RNA
Rfam family: Bacterial small subunit ribosomal RNA
Source: RNAcentral